GACGAACCGUCCAAACGUUAGUCGGAAUUACUGGGCUUAAAGGGUGCGUAGGCGGCUCUGUAAGUUGGGUGUGAAAGACCUCGGCUCAACCGAGGAAUUGCGCCCAAAACUACAGGGCUUGAGGAAGGCAGAGGUGAGCGGAACUUGCGGUGGAGCGGUGAAAUGCGUUGAUAUCGCAAGGAACACCAGUGGCGAAAGCGGCUCACUGGGCCUUUUCUGACGCUGAGGCACGAAAGCUAGGGGAGCGAAGAGG
This 253-nucleotide ribosomal RNA is filed under the name uncultured bacterium. RNAcentral describes it as "partial 16S ribosomal RNA". It matches the Rfam family "Bacterial small subunit ribosomal RNA", at positions 524 to 776 of the family's 1533-position model. The record is from RNAcentral.